AGUUGGGUACCCUAAGGAGACUGCCGGUGAUAAGCCGAGAGGAAGGUGUGGACGACGUCAAGUCAUCAUGGCCCUUACGGGUUGGGCUACACACGUGCUACAAUGGCAUCUACAGUGAGUUAAUCUCCAAAAGAUGUCUCAGUUCGGAUUGGGGUCUGCAACUCGACCCCAUGAAGUUGGAAUCGCUAGUAAUCGCGGAACAGCAUGCCGCGGUGAAUACGUUCCCGGGCCUU
RNAcentral lists this ribosomal RNA (233 nucleotides) under uncultured marine bacterium pM-30. RNAcentral describes it as "partial 16S ribosomal RNA". It matches the Rfam family "Bacterial small subunit ribosomal RNA", at positions 1129 to 1382 of the family's 1533-position model. The record is from RNAcentral. Lineage: Bacteria; Pseudomonadati; Pseudomonadota; Alphaproteobacteria.